This 498-nucleotide ribosomal RNA is filed under the name uncultured bacterium. Its description in RNAcentral is "partial 16S ribosomal RNA". It matches the Rfam family "Bacterial small subunit ribosomal RNA", at positions 30 to 523 of the family's 1533-position model. The record is from RNAcentral.
AUUGAACGCUGGCGGCAUGCCUUACACAUGCAAGUCGAACGGUAACAGGUCUUCAGAUGCUGACGAGUGGCGAACGGGUGAGUAAUACAUCGGAACGUGCCUAGUAGUGGGGGAUAACUACUCGAAAGAGUGGCUAAUACCGCAUGAGAUCUACGGAUGAAAGCAGGGGAUCGCAAGACCUUGUGCUACUAGAGCGGCCGAUGGCAGAUUAGGUAGUUGGUGGGAUAAAAGCUUACCAAGCCGACGAUCUGUAGCUGGUCUGAGAGGACGAUCAGCCCCACUGGGACUGAGACACGGCCCAGACUCCUACGGGAGGCAGCAGUGGGGAAUUUUGGACAAUGGGCGCAAGCCUGAUCCAGCAAUGCCGCGUGCAGGAUGAAGGCCUUCGGGUUGUAAACUGCUUUUGUACGGAACGAAAAGCCCCGGGUUAAUACCCUGGGGUCAUGACGGUACCGUAAGAAUAAGCACCGGCUAACUACGUGCCAGCCGCCGCCGUAA